UACAGCCACAUCAUCGUGAAACAUCGGUUCCCAUACAAUCACCAAAGUUAAGCAAGGUCGAGUCUGGUCAGUACUUAGUAGGGUGACUGCUUGGGAAUACCAGGUGCCGUAAU
Non-coding RNA from Acanthosepion pharaonis, 113 nucleotides. Lineage: Eukaryota; Metazoa; Mollusca; Cephalopoda; Sepiida; Sepiidae. The record is from the annotation of a GenBank genome assembly.